Molecule: non-coding RNA, 809 nt
Filed under: Silvestritermes heyeri
Lineage: Eukaryota; Metazoa; Arthropoda; Insecta; Blattodea; Termitidae
Source: RNAcentral
GUGAAGUUUUAUUCUUGCUUUUUUGUUCAGUGUUUUGUUUGUUCUAUAUGUAAGUUUGUGCGUGAGUUUGACUAAAUUUUAAAUAGGUUUGGUAUUUUUUAUAUAAUUCUCAUUAGUUGUUAUUGGUUGGUCAAGUAUUCUUGUAUUUAGCAAUACGUUGUUUAGCUUCGGUUAAAUUUUGUGCCAGCAGCCGCGGUUAUACCUUGGAAGCAUUUGAAUAUGUUCGGCAUAUGUAGUUAUAUUGUUUAGUAUUUGAUUUUAUUUUGGUUAUUGUUAGGUGAAAUUUUUAUUUUCAUAAUUUUCUUAUUUCUAUUUGGAGGCUAUGAAAUUCUUUUGGUAAACUAGGAUUAGAUACCCUAUUAUUUUAGAAUGUUAAUUUUUUGUGUGUCUGAGUAGUAUUAGUUAUGUUCUUGAAACUUAAAGAAUUUGGCGGUAUCUCAUUCCGUCCAGAGGAAUCUGUCUCGUAAUCGAUAGUCCACGUUGGACCUUACUUAGUUUUAAUUAGGUUUGUAUACCGCCGUUUAUUGAUUAUCUUUUUAGGGUUUAUUAAUUUUCUGGUUUCUUUAUUUUGAUUUAUUUCAGGUCAAGGUGCAGCUUGUUUCUAAGUGAUAUGAUGGAUUACAUUGUUAUUUGUUUUAUGGAUUGUUGGUUUAAAUAUUGACAUGAAAUUGGAUUUGGUUGUAAUUGUUUGUAGAUUGUUAUUAUGAUAAUUGGUUCUGGGAUAUGCACACAUCGCCCGUCGCUCUCGUUUAUUUUAAUGAGAUAAGUCGUAACAAAGUGGUUGUACCGGAAGGUGCAGCUGGAUUGAU